GAAUCUUGCGCAAUGGGCGAAAGCCUGACGCAGCCACGCCGCGUGCCGGAUGAAGGCCCUAUGGGUUGUAAACGGCUUUUGAGGAGGAAGAACGAGCGGGUUUUGACCUGCUGUGACGGUACCCCUUGAAUAAGCACCGGCUAACCCCGUGCCAGCAGCCGCGGUAAUACGGAGGGUGCAAGCGGUGUCCGGAAUCAUUGGGUGUAAAGGGUGCGUAGGUGGGAGCCUAAGUCUGGGGUGAAAUCUUGCCGCUUAACGGUAAAAUGGCCUUGGAUACUGGGUUUCUUGAGUAUAGAAGAGGUAAGUGGAAUUCGUGGUGUAGCGGUGAAAUGCAUAGAUAUUACGAAGAACAUCAGUGGCGAAGGCGGCUUACUGGUCUAUAACUGACACUGAGGCACGAAAGCGUGGGGAGCGAACAGG
RNAcentral lists this ribosomal RNA (420 nucleotides) under uncultured bacterium. RNAcentral describes it as "bacterial SSU rRNA". It matches the Rfam family "Bacterial small subunit ribosomal RNA", at positions 359 to 776 of the family's 1533-position model. The record is from RNAcentral.